CGACAGAUCUCCCUCAUUCUAUUUUCUUUUAUUUAUUUUUUGAAUAUUCUCUUCUCUGCCUCUUCUUCCUCAUGUUAUAUUUUUCAGAUUUGGUAACUGGAGUUUAAGAAGAUGAAGACUCGCUGGUGACGAAGACCCGGAGGCUCACCGGAGACGAACCCACGGCGGAGCUCAAGGUCGCCGUUACGCCAUCAUCUCACCUAUGCUCAAGCUCAACGUCACACCAUCUUCUCAAUCUCGCCGUCACACCAUCUGCUCGAUCUCGCCGUCAAUUUAACCUAACAGAGAGGAGGAAUAUUAUUCCCAAACCUUCAUUAUUCCUUUUCAUUGCUUGCUCCUUUAAUAUGCCGACUCAUGGAUCUGAUGGGUUUGUGAUGAUCUGAGAAGGUGGUGGUGUUAUAAUCGAAGGUGGUGGUGUUAUAAUCGAAGGUGGUGGUCUGAUGAGUCGGUGUUGGUGGCGUGACGAAUCAGUGGUCUCCUUCUCAUCAGUGGCGGAGCAUGGAGGAGGCAGAAAAGCUAUGCCUCUAGUUCAGACCAGUCUUCAUUCUGGUGGUGAAGGCGGUCUAGCAGUCCAGUGUCCUCUCCGGUCGUCUUCGCAGCUGCAACGGUGGUGUUCUCAGUCGCCAUCAAUGAGUUAGAGGAAGAAGAUGAAGCUUGAAGUGUAAAGUUCAUGAAACAUCAGUUAAGUUUUUCUUCCAACUACAUAGGGGUAUAGCUUUUGAUGCAAACAUUACUAACACAUAUCAGGUUGGCUUACGCUGGAUCACGUUCUAUACAGCUUAAAUCUUCUAAUGUCGGAUCACGUCCAGGGUCGUGCUUACCCAUAUGAAAAAGAGGCAAUGGCAGGCCCCAUAUUUAAACAUUAAAACUUAUGUUUUAGCUUAUGUUUUAUAGAAGUUUUUUGUUAGAAUAAUUUGUAAUUAUUAUACAUAAGUUCCAUACGUAUACUUUCUUUUUCUGUCUUACCAUUUGAGAAGCAAAAAACUCUUCUUUAUUCUGUCA
This is a long non-coding RNA of Brassica napus (rape), 1002 nucleotides long. RefSeq lists it as uncharacterized. The record is from RefSeq and is a predicted model, not a curated record. The transcript is spliced from 3 exons. Lineage: Eukaryota; Viridiplantae; Streptophyta; Magnoliopsida; Brassicales; Brassicaceae.